UCCGAUAUGGUGUAGUGGCCAACAUGAUGCCCUCUCAUAACAUCGAGAGGUUAGGCAUAGCCCCGAGUUCGAUUCUCGGUUUCGGAA
RNAcentral lists this transfer RNA (87 nucleotides) under Colletotrichum orbiculare MAFF 240422. RNAcentral describes it as "tRNA-Glu for anticodon CUC". It matches the Rfam family "tRNA". Rfam says of the family: Transfer RNA (tRNA) molecules are approximately 80 nucleotides in length. Their secondary structure includes four short double-helical elements and three loops (D, anti-codon, and T loops). Further hydrogen bonds mediate the characteristic L-shaped molecular structure. tRNAs have two regions of fundamental functional importance: the anti-codon, which is responsible for specific mRNA codon recognition, and the 3' end, to which the tRNAs corresponding amino acid is attached (by aminoacyl-tRNA synthetases). tRNAs cope with the degeneracy of the genetic code in two manners: having more than one tRNA (with a specific anti-codon) for a particular amino acid; and 'wobble' base-pairing, i.e. permitting non-standard base-pairing at the 3rd anti-codon position. The record is from RNAcentral. Lineage: Eukaryota; Fungi; Ascomycota; Sordariomycetes; Glomerellales; Glomerellaceae.